Eubalaena glacialis (North Atlantic right whale) is the source of this 1034-nucleotide long non-coding RNA. RefSeq lists it as uncharacterized. The transcript has 3 exons. NCBI's taxonomy places the organism in Eukaryota, Metazoa, Chordata, Mammalia, Artiodactyla, Balaenidae. The record is from RefSeq and is a predicted model, not a curated record.
CUCACCUUCUUGGUUUUUGGACAGAGUACUAAAUGAAGAUACUAUCUGCUGCCUGGAUUUGUCUUGUGAGACACGAGUGUUUCCAGAACCUGGGAGAAGCACACAAUGCCCUGUUGGAGAACCUAAUGGCAAGGUGGUUAAGGCAGAGUGUGGGACAGCUGAAGGCAGAUGACUCAGGACCUCUGCACCCAGAGCAAGGAGGCGUCUGUGAGAGGGAGACAAGGCUUACAAAGGGCCUGAUGGAGACUUUGGGAGGAAGAACUAAUGGUGGACCUGGACUUAGGUCUUUGGCUUUUCAGUGAUGAAGGAAGCUGAGAAAAAGACAUUUCAGACUGAGCCCCCGAAACAUAGAAAUAAGAAGAAUAACUCUUAAGAUGGUAUUUAGGUACAGCUCUUAAGCAGCUACUCAGUAACCACACAAUAGGUGGUAAGAACAGCAGGAUUUCCAGUGACUCUGGGCCGCUGUCGGGCUUCUCCACCUGGGACCUGCAGACUCACCCUCAGGCAUCUGUGAGUGCUCUUGCAUGGUGAUGAAGAAUACAGGGCCUACUAGUUCUAUUUGGUGCCACUGCCUUGAUUUGUGUGAAAGUGACAGCAGUUCUACCCACCAUUUCUUUUGCACCAUCAAUACAAGUGUUAACACAGUGAAAAAGAUAAUGUCUUAGGAUGAUGAUGAUGAUGAUGAUGAUGAUGAUGAUGAUGAUGAUGAUGAUGAUGAAGAAGAAGGAGGAGGAGGAGAAAGAAGAAGAGAAGAAGAAGAAGAAAAUAUUUUUGAACGCAGAACCCCUGAAAGCUUCUCCAGGAUUACUGAGGGGUCUCAUGGACCAGAUUUAGAACCACUGAACUAGGGAGGGCCCUGCUGACAUAGCUACACUUUAAGCUUCUAGAAAGUAUUAGAUUAAGGGCCUCUUAAGAUUUUUUUCUCAGUGAGCCCAGAUUCUAACAACUUCUAACAACUUGAUAAGAAAAGCCUCUUAGGCCAAAGCUGGGAAGUUCUGAUCUCUCCUGAGAGAAGCUAACCCUUUGACCUCACA